UUCCAGUUUGCGCUUAAUCUCCGAAAGCCGGAGAGCGGGGGAACCAACGCCAGCCGAUGCAUGCUUAAGACGUCAUGAAGUAUCGUGCUGCGUAUGAAUUCUUCAGGGGUGAAUUUUGCGGCGAUUGCCAUGAGCAUUCGUUCCGCGGAUAGGGCAGCUCUCUCGCCCGAACCCGUCAGCUAACCUCGUAAGCGAAUAUAGAGAGCGAUC
This 210-nucleotide small RNA is filed under the name Paenibacillus sp. RNAcentral describes it as "c-di-AMP sequence". It matches the Rfam family "c-di-AMP riboswitch aptamer (ydaO/yuaA leader)". From Rfam's summary of the family: This family represents a conserved RNA structure found upstream of the ydaO and yuaA genes in Bacillus subtilis and related genes in other bacteria. The ydaO/yuaA element is thought to act as a genetic "off" switch for the ydaO and yuaA genes in its native state. It is believed that the element may be triggered during osmotic shock leading to activation of ydaO, a predicted amino acid transporter gene, and members of the yuaA-yubG operon which code for KtrA and KtrB K+ transporters. The record is from RNAcentral. Lineage: Bacteria; Bacillati; Bacillota; Bacilli; Caryophanales; Paenibacillaceae.